RNAcentral lists this ribosomal RNA (521 nucleotides) under uncultured bacterium. RNAcentral describes it as "bacterial SSU rRNA". It matches the Rfam family "Bacterial small subunit ribosomal RNA", at positions 17 to 518 of the family's 1533-position model. The record is from RNAcentral.
UUAUGGCUCAGAACGAACGCUGGCGGCGUGCUUAACACAUGCAAGUCGAACGCGAAAGGGACUUCGGUCCUGAGUAAAGUGGCGCACGGGUGAGUAACGCGUAGAUAACCUGUCUUCAUGUCUGGAAUAAUACGCCGAAAGGGGUACUAAUACCGGAUAUUCUUGCUUUUCAUAAGUUAUGCAAGCAAAGGUGGCCUCUGCAUAUGCUACUGCAUGAAGAGGGGUCUGCGUACCAUUAGCUAGUAGGUGGGGUAAUGGCCUACCUAGGCGACGAUGGUUAGCGGGUCUGAGAGGAUGAUCCGCCACACUGGCACUGGAACACGGGCCAGACUCCUACGGGAGGCAGCAGUGGGGAAUAUUGCGCAAUGGGGGAAACCCUGACGCAGCGACGCCGCGUGAGUGAGGAAGGCCUUCGGGUCGUAAAGCUCUGUCAAGAGGAAAGAAGUGUACAAUGGCUAAUACCUGUUGUAUUUGACGGUACCUCUAAAGGAAGCACCGGCUAACUCCGUGCCAGCCGCCGC